GGUGGCUCAGUGGUAGAGUGCUUGCCUUGCAUGCAUGAGUACCUGGGUUCAAUUCCUCAGCACCA
RNAcentral lists this transfer RNA (65 nucleotides) under Dipodomys ordii (Ord's kangaroo rat). It matches the Rfam family "tRNA". Rfam says of the family: Transfer RNA (tRNA) molecules are approximately 80 nucleotides in length. Their secondary structure includes four short double-helical elements and three loops (D, anti-codon, and T loops). Lineage: Eukaryota; Metazoa; Chordata; Mammalia; Rodentia; Heteromyidae. The record is from Rfam by way of RNAcentral.